This 98-nucleotide microRNA precursor is filed under the name Dasypus novemcinctus (nine-banded armadillo). RNAcentral's name for it is "miRNA (ENSDNOG00000046757.1)". Lineage: Eukaryota; Metazoa; Chordata; Mammalia; Cingulata; Dasypodidae. The record is from RNAcentral.
AUUUGAAUCACCUGAGCUUCUUGUUAAAAGGAAGAUUCUGAUUCAGGGUUGGGGCUUGGGACUACAUUUCCACCAAACUCCCAGGUGAUGAUAAUGCU